GAGACAAGGAUGAAACUUUAGAUACGAGGGGGUGUUGCAAAUAUGUUGUUGAUCAUAUACAAAAUUGUGAAAAGAUUUUAACUCGGCUUGGAGAAGUUCAUCUUACAUUAUCGGGUAUGAAGUCCGUAUUUGGAGUACCAAAGGUUGUAAUUGUUGGACAUUUAUGUGGAUCUUACGGAAGAAAACCAGAUCCGACUAAAGU
Molecule: long non-coding RNA, 202 nt
Filed under: Physcomitrium patens
Lineage: Eukaryota; Viridiplantae; Streptophyta; Bryopsida; Funariales; Funariaceae
Description: long non-coding RNA (PPAT_LNC004422)
Source: RNAcentral